This 253-nucleotide ribosomal RNA is filed under the name uncultured bacterium. RNAcentral's name for it is "partial 16S ribosomal RNA". It matches the Rfam family "Bacterial small subunit ribosomal RNA", at positions 524 to 776 of the family's 1533-position model. The record is from RNAcentral.
UACGUAGGCAGCGAGCGUUGUUCGGAAUUACUGGGCGUAAAGAGUGUGUAGGCGGUGUUCCCAGUCUGUUGUGAAAUCUCCCGGCUUAACUGGGAGGGUGCAGCGGAAACUAGAAUGCUAGAGGGUGGGAGAGGUAAGCGGAAUUCCUGGUGUAGCGGUGGAAUGCGUAGAUAUCAGGAGGAACACCUGUGGUGUAGACAGCUUACUGGACCACUUCUGACGCUGAGACACGAAAGCGUGGGUAGCAAACAGG